Molecule: transfer RNA, 71 nt
Filed under: Acinetobacter baumannii
Lineage: Bacteria; Pseudomonadati; Pseudomonadota; Gammaproteobacteria; Moraxellales; Moraxellaceae
Description: tRNA-Gly
Rfam family: tRNA
About the family: Transfer RNA (tRNA) molecules are approximately 80 nucleotides in length. Their secondary structure includes four short double-helical elements and three loops (D, anti-codon, and T loops).
Source: RNAcentral
GCGGGAAUAGCUCAGUUGGUAGAGCAUAACCUUGCCAAGGUUGGGGUCGCGAGUUCGAGUCUCGUUUCCCG